GAUGAACGCUGGCGGCGUGCCUAAUACAUGCAAGUCGAGCGAACAGAUAAGGAGCUUGCUCCUCUGACGUUAGCGGCGGACGGGUGAGUAACACGUGGGUAACCUACCUAUAAGACUGGGAUAACUUCGGGAAACCGGAGCUAAUACCGGAUAAUAUUUCGAACCGCAUGGUUCGAUAGUGAAAGAUGGUUUUGCUAUCACUUAUAGAUGGACCCGCGCCGUAUUAGCUAGUUGGUAAGGUAACGGCUUACCAAGGCGACGAUGCGUAGCCGACCUGAGAGGGUGAUCGGCCACACUGGAACUGAGACACGGUCCAGACUCCUACGGGAGGCAGCAGUAGGGAAUCUUCCGCAAUGGGCGAAAGCCUGACGGAGCAACGCCGCGUGAGUGAUGAAGGUCUUCGGAUCGUAAAACUCUGUUAUUAGGGAAGAACAAACGUGUAAGUAACUGUGCACGUCUUGACGGUACCUAAUCAGAAAGCCACGGCUAACUACGUG
This 497-nucleotide ribosomal RNA is filed under the name uncultured bacterium. Its description in RNAcentral is "partial 16S ribosomal RNA". It matches the Rfam family "Bacterial small subunit ribosomal RNA", at positions 28 to 507 of the family's 1533-position model. The record is from RNAcentral.